RNAcentral lists this ribosomal RNA (497 nucleotides) under uncultured bacterium. Its description in RNAcentral is "partial 16S ribosomal RNA". It matches the Rfam family "Bacterial small subunit ribosomal RNA", at positions 28 to 507 of the family's 1533-position model. The record is from RNAcentral.
GAUGAACGCUGGCGGCGUGCCUAAUACAUGCAAGUCGAGCGAACAGACGAGGAGCUUGCUCCUCUGACGUUAGCGGCGGACGGGUGAGUAACACGUGGAUAACCUACCUAUAAGACUGGGAUAACUUCGGGAAACCGGAGCUAAUACCGGAUAAUAUAUUGAACCGCAUGGUUCAAUAGUGAAAGACGGUGUUGCUGUCACUUAUAGAUGGAUCCGCGCCGCAUGAGCUAGUUGGUAAGGUAACGGCUUACCAAGGCAACGAUGCGUAGCCGACCUGAGAGGGUGAUCGGCCACACUGGAACUGAGACACGGUCCAGACUCCUACGGGAGGCAGCAGUAGGGAAUCUUCCGCAAUGGGCGAAAGCCUGACGGAGCAACGCCGCGUGAGUGAUGAAGGUCUUCGGAUCGUAAAACUCUGUUAUUAGGGAAGAACAAAUGUGUAAGUAACUAUGCCCGUCUUGACGGUACCUAAUCAGAAAGCCACGGCUAACUACGUG